AGCAGCCGCGGUAAUUCCAGCUCCAAUAGCGUAUAUUAAAGUUGUUGCAGUUAAAAGGCUCGUAGUUGAAUUUCGGGAUCAAUACGUCGGUCGUACCUCGGUACGUACUAACGUCAUUGAUUUCUCCCUUCUGACGAACCAUGAUGCCAUUAAUUUGGUGUUAUGGGAAAUCAGGACUGUUACUUUGAAAAAAUUAGAGUGUUUAAAGCAGGCUCACGCUUGAAUACAUUAGCAUGGAAUAAUGAAAUAGGACGUUCGAUCCUAUUUUGUUGGUUUUUAGGAUCAACGUAAUGAUUAAUAGGGAUAGUUGGGGGCAUUAGUAUUCAAUUGUCAGAGGUGAAAUUCUUGGAUUUAUUGAAGACUAACUACUGCGAAAGCAUUUGCCGAGGAUGUUUUCAUUAAUCAAGAACGAAAGUUAGGGGAUCGAAGACGAUCAGAUACCGUCGUAGUCUUAACCAUAAACUAUGCCGACUAGGGAUCGGAUGAUGUUAAUUUUUAAUGACUCAUUCGCGCCUUACGG
Molecule: ribosomal RNA, 520 nt
Filed under: uncultured Glomus
Lineage: Eukaryota; Fungi; Glomeromycota; Glomeromycetes; Glomerales; Glomeraceae
Description: SSU rRNA
Rfam family: Eukaryotic small subunit ribosomal RNA
Source: RNAcentral